RNAcentral lists this ribosomal RNA (253 nucleotides) under uncultured bacterium. Its description in RNAcentral is "partial 16S ribosomal RNA". It matches the Rfam family "Bacterial small subunit ribosomal RNA", at positions 524 to 776 of the family's 1533-position model. The record is from RNAcentral.
UACGUAGGGGGCUAGCGUUGUCCGGAAUUAUUGGGCGUAAAGCGCAUGUAGGCGGGAUGUUAAGUCGCGUGUGAAAGCCCCAGGCUCAACCUGGGAAGUGCGCGCGAAACUGGCAACCUUGAGUGCUGGAGAGGGUGGCGGAAUUCCCGGUGUAGAGGUGAAAUUCGUAGAUAUCGGGAGGAACACCAGAGGCGAAGGCGGCCACCUGGACAGACACUGACGCUGAGACGCGAAAGCGUGGGGAGCAAACAGG